GUGUGUGUGUGUGUGUGUGUGUCGGUGCACUGUCUUCGGCUGAUGACGUCACACGGCCCGGGCUCUUGCCGCAGCUGCGUCGGAAUGAAAACAAUCGCACGUGCACAAGGCGGCGUUGCCAGAUGGGGAAUGACAAACUAUCGCAGCGUGAGCGUAAAAUGACGCAUUUUAAAGGAAACUACUCGCACAUAUCGAGUUUGACGUUGCCGGGGAGGAUAUGAUAAGAGUAAAGAUGACCACAGACCGUGUAUUCUGUAGCUUUGUAACGCGGUUUUAUUGUUAAGUAAACUAACAGUACUGUUGGAAAUUAAGCGCGAACAGUGGCCCCACCUGGCUGUAAAGAGUGACGAUACAAUGUUAUGUAUCGUGUUUGUGUUGGCUAAUAACCAUGUCCAAAAUUCUCCUACAUUAAAAGGUUUUUUUUUAUGUAUUUAUUGAUAGUACGGUAAAGUAGUAAAAAGACGAUUACUAUUAUACGUCUGGCAAUCCUGGCAGUACAGCUCGAGAAGUCAAGUGAACGCAAACUAACAAAAAAUGUACUCGCGGAAACGAGCAACAUCAUAGGAACGCCGUCCUCCUGUGGAAUCCCCGUCCUUACUCUGGCUGCUCAGGGUGGACGUGCAGGCCGUUCUCAGUGCGGGUGACGCUGUUGCUCUCCCAGAAGCUCUUUUGCAGCUGCUCCACUUCCGACACCAGCGGGAGGCUGAUGUCCAAGUGCAUCUUCAGGUUCUCCAACCACUCCUCCAGUUUGGAAAAGGGCGGGCUACGGAAACAAACGGAAAUGAAUGAGGGAGGUUCCAUCCUGUGAUGACACCUUAACCUCAGAGGACACCUCUGCUGUCAUCGCACGGAUCUUUUUAUGAGCCCAACCGGAGGUACACGGGAGGAUCUGCCCACCUCUUUCAGGAAUGUUCUUUGUGUCUCAUCGUCAAAGCGGAUCAGCUCCUUCAUCACCAUCACCUCCCCCGUCACCCUGUGGGUCACCUGAAGGUAGGAGUAAUUCCAAUUAGUCCUCCGCACGGGAACGUUCCGGCAUUGUGACGCGUUUCAACCUGGCCAUACAUACUGAAGCCAAACGUACCUUGAU
Nerophis lumbriciformis (worm pipefish) is the source of this 1087-nucleotide long non-coding RNA. RefSeq lists it as uncharacterized. Lineage: Eukaryota; Metazoa; Chordata; Actinopteri; Syngnathiformes; Syngnathidae. The record is from RefSeq and is a predicted model, not a curated record.